RNAcentral lists this ribosomal RNA (536 nucleotides) under Providencia stuartii. RNAcentral describes it as "partial 23S ribosomal RNA". It matches the Rfam family "Bacterial large subunit ribosomal RNA", at positions 2263 to 2798 of the family's 2925-position model. Lineage: Bacteria; Pseudomonadati; Pseudomonadota; Gammaproteobacteria; Enterobacterales; Morganellaceae. The record is from RNAcentral.
GGGUAGUUUGACUGGGGCGGUCUCCUCCCAAAGCGUAACGGAGGAGCACGAAGGUUGGCUAAGCAUGGUCGGACAUCAUGCGGUUAGUGCAAAGGCAUAAGCCAGCUUGACUGCGAGAGUGACGGCUCGAGCAGGUACGAAAGUAGGUCUUAGUGAUCCGGUGGUUCUGAAUGGAAGGGCCAUCGCUCAACGGAUAAAAGGUACUCCGGGGAUAACAGGCUGAUACCGCCCAAGAGUUCAUAUCGACGGCGGUGUUUGGCACCUCGAUGUCGGCUCAUCACAUCCUGGGGCUGAAGUAGGUCCCAAGGGUAUGGCUGUUCGCCAUUUAAAGUGGUACGCGAGCUGGGUUUAGAACGUCGUGAGACAGUUCGGUCCCUAUCUGCCGUGGGCGUUGGAAGAUUGAAAGGGGCUGCUCCUAGUACGAGAGGACCGGAGUGGACGCACCGCUGGUGUUCGGGUUGUCAUGCCAAUGGCACUGCCCGGUAGCUAAGUGCGGAAGAGAUAACCGCUGAAAGCAUCUAAGCGGGAAACUUGCC